GAGUUCAAGAGUACGUGAAACUGCUUAGAGGUUAAACCCGAUGAACCUGAAUAUCCGUUAUGAAAAAUUCAUCCAUUAAUACUAUAAUAUAUAUUUUUUUAUAUAUUAUAGAAAUAGUGUGCAAUUUUUUCAUAUAAGGACAUUGUAAUCUGUUAAGGGAUUAAAUAUUUAUCAAAAGAUCUAUAUUACUUAAGUUUAUUCAAAUUAGUUAUUUUCGAAUUUCUAACAUAGAAUAAAUGUAGUUGUAGAUUUGAUAAAUCGUUGACAGAUUUAAUUUAUAUAUAGUGCUUAAAUUUUAUUUAUAAAAUUUUGCAAUUUUGAUAUAAUCUUUUGAUUAUAUUUAUGAAUUGUAUGCACUUAUAUGAUUAACAAUGCGAUAGAUUUUCAGGAUACCCGGGACCCGUCUUGAAACACGGACCAAGGAGUCUAACAUAUGUGCAAGUCAUUGGAUAUUUUUAAUAAAAUCCAAAGGCAUAAUUAACUUAACUGUUUUAUAUAUGGGAUUAGUUUAUAUUUUAUUAUAAAAUAUGAAUUCAAUCCCGGGGCGUUCUAUAUAGUUAUGCAUAAUAAUAUUUAUAUUAUUUAUGCCUCUAACUAGAGC
RNAcentral lists this ribosomal RNA (601 nucleotides) under Milesia fuscicosta. RNAcentral describes it as "eukaryotic LSU rRNA". The record is from RNAcentral. Lineage: Eukaryota; Metazoa; Arthropoda; Insecta; Diptera; Syrphidae.